Cryptotermes secundus is the source of this 846-nucleotide long non-coding RNA. RefSeq lists it as uncharacterized. The transcript is spliced from 3 exons. The record is from RefSeq and is a predicted model, not a curated record. Lineage: Eukaryota; Metazoa; Arthropoda; Insecta; Blattodea; Kalotermitidae.
GAAUUUCAUGGAAAGGGACCUGGCAAAAAUAAAGUGGAGAAACGAGUGAAGAGAACUGAACAGGAAGGAUUGAUGAAACAGAUGAGCUCAACAGACACCCACUCGGAAUGCUUAGCCUCUUGCAGCAGAAGCAGAAAGAAAUGUAGUCUCCAUUCGUGGUCUUUAGUGGCGGCAAACAAACACGAGGCAACCAUCUCAAAAACCAAACUGCAAAUUCUUCAUGAAAUAUACUGGCACCAACUCUGAACUUUUGCGUGGACUUAUGUUUUUAUUGUUUCUUACUGUCUGGAAUAUCGUCUCUAUUUUUCAAUAAGACACAGCUUGCAGCUGCCGACAGUGCCUAUGUGUAUUGGAAGGAAGGCCACAGAGUUCAUUUCACAUUCAAAUGAGUACAGUGGUUCUCCUGCUUCCUUAGGUAACCUGUUGGCACCUGCAAGUUGAAAAGUACAAUUUCUAGUGAUUAGUUGCUUGCUUAUAGGACUUGAGCCAGAUGAACGGCCUCUAAGCUAAAUCAGACAUGAAGUAAUUAUAUUUGGCAUUUCCUGAUUGCAAUAGCAAUAUUGUAUUCUUCCAAGGGAAGAAAGAAGCCCUUGUUCAGGUGUAGGCCAGUAUAUGUUUUAGUCUUUGUUAAUAGAAAUUAACUUGAAAUCACAUUAUUACAGAAGUGCAUACAUUUAUGUAUUUCUUCAUGAAAUAGGAAUUAUGAUUUAAAACAUGUACACCUACUCCAUUAGGUGCAUGAAGAAUAUGUUGUUUAGUUAGAUUUGUUACUUAGCGGCCUCCAUAGUCUAGAGGUAACGUUCCCACCUCAUGACUCGAGGUACGCGGGUUCAAACCCGGCGGAGG